UGCUGACAAAUGCUUGUGCUUUAACAUCAAGAACAGCCUUGGCAAUAUUCAUGUAUGGAAAAAUGUCUCCUCUGUAUUGUCAGGCAACUAAACCUCUUAAGCCACUGUUCUGAUGUUUGCAUGCUACAGAAAUAACAUUAAAACAAGAUUUAGGAGCCAAAUAACUGCAUAUCAUUUAAAGUAAACUACAUGUUAUAUAACUUUGCUGCCAGCCUUUAAAUUGGCAAACAUACUCAUCCAGUUCCUGUUAAAUAUCGUUAAAAAAUUAUGCUCAAUGAGAAACACACACACUAAUUCUUUAUGAUAGCAGCUAGACGCGCCAGUCUUCAGACUGAAAUAAUUUGCCAAGAUUAUUUAAGCACAGACCACAGAGAGCAGCUCCCUACAAGCUUGCAGACUGCAGGGAGGGCAAAAAGGCAGAGACAGGGAGCAGAGAGAGACAGGAAAACAACACUGGUCAGCAUAAAAAGUGAUGAUCUUAGCAUGAGAAUCUGAUGUUUGAUUUUGGUAUGUUCAUGUCAUAACUGGGAUCAUCUUGAGCUGAGGAAUUUUACUGCAUUUGUUUCUCAUCAGCACGAAUGUGGGGGUGGCCGUGCUGCAGCACAAGCUGGUACAGGCCACGGUCCCUCAGGGCCUGCAGGCCCAGCACAGCUUGGUGCGCCCCGGCCUCGGGGUGGCUGGUAACCCCUGCUGGCAUGGAUUAUGGAUUAUUCCCCCGGAGAGUGUGUCUGCAGACCCCUACAGCUGCCAGUUUUUCUUAAAUAUUUUUACAGAUGGAGACAUGCCUGUGGCAGGUGGAGGGUUUGGCUCACACCGGCGGUCUCACAGGACCACUCUGACUGGAGGCAGCCAGGGCUGGCUCGCCCCUCACCGCCAGCACCUCCCCAGAGCAAGGGCAGAAAAAGGAAGAAAAUGUGGAAUUGCAGAGACAAAGCGAUAUGCAGAAGAAUAAAUAUUACCAAUUUUAUCCUAUACAUGAGAAAUUGAG
This 988-nucleotide long non-coding RNA is filed under the name Numida meleagris (helmeted guineafowl). RNAcentral's name for it is "lncRNA (ENSNMEG00000006662.1)". Lineage: Eukaryota; Metazoa; Chordata; Aves; Galliformes; Numididae. The record is from RNAcentral.